GACGAACGCUGGCGGCGUGCUUAACACAUGCAAGUCGAACGGAAAGGCCCUGCUUUUGUGGGGUGCUCGAGUGGCGAACGGGUGAGUAACACGUGAGUAACCUGCCCUUGACUUUGGGAUAACUUCAGGAAACUGGGGCUAAUACCGGAUAGGAUCUCCUGCUGCAUGGUGGGGGCUGGAAAGUUUCGGCGGUUGGGGGUGGACUCGCGGCUUAUCAGCUUGUUGGUGGGGUAGUGGCUUACCAAGGCUUUGACGGGUAGCCGGCCUGAGAGGGUGACCGGCCACAUUGGGACUGAGAUGCGGCCCAGACUCCUACGGGAGGCAGCAGUGGGGAAUAUUGCACAAUGGGCGGAAGCCUGAUGCAGCAACGCCGCGUGCGGGAUGACGGCCUUCGGGUUGUAUACCGCUUUCGCCUGUGACGAAGCGUGAGUGACGGUAAUGGGUAAAGAAGCACCGGCUAACUACGUG
This 468-nucleotide ribosomal RNA is filed under the name uncultured bacterium. RNAcentral's name for it is "partial 16S ribosomal RNA". It matches the Rfam family "Bacterial small subunit ribosomal RNA", at positions 28 to 507 of the family's 1533-position model. The record is from RNAcentral.